Non-coding RNA from Caenorhabditis elegans, 150 nucleotides. The record is from Ensembl. Lineage: Eukaryota; Metazoa; Nematoda; Chromadorea; Rhabditida; Rhabditidae.
UAGUUGUAUGACACACAGAAAAGUCAAGUGAAGGAUUUCAUCAAUCAUCCUAGAAAGCAUAGCAUACCACGCCUUGGUCCUCUUUUGUGCAUACUUCUUCACAAUCUUCAACAAUUGAGACGUGAGAGGUCAGACAGACAACACUGAAGA